CAAUAGCGUAUAUUUAAGUUGUUGCAGUUAAAAAGCUCGUAGUUGGAUUUCUGCUGAUCGCUGUCGGUCUGCCGUCAGGUGUGUACUGGCAGUGUUUGGCAUCUAUUCGAGAUUGGGUGUCCACUUGAUUGUGUGCACUCGAUGUCGGAGCUAAUACUUUGAGAAAAUUAGAGUGUUCCACGCAGGCGCGUGCCUUGAAUACUGCAGCAUGGGAUAUUGGAAGGCCGAUUGAGCUUUCUUGUUGGUUCUCGGUUUGAUCGGAAUGAUUAAUAGGGAUAGUUGGGGGCAUUCGUAUUCAACUGUCAGAGGUGAAAUUCUUGGAUUUGCUGAAGACGGACUACUGCGAAAGCAUCUGCCAUGGAUGUUCUCAUUGA
Molecule: ribosomal RNA, 374 nt
Filed under: uncultured eukaryote
Lineage: Eukaryota
Description: partial 18S ribosomal RNA
Rfam family: Eukaryotic small subunit ribosomal RNA
Source: RNAcentral